This is a long non-coding RNA of Girardinichthys multiradiatus, 2093 nucleotides long. RefSeq lists it as uncharacterized. NCBI's taxonomy places the organism in Eukaryota, Metazoa, Chordata, Actinopteri, Cyprinodontiformes, Goodeidae. The transcript is spliced from 2 exons. The record is from RefSeq and is a predicted model, not a curated record.
ACCUGUGUCAGUCAGUUGAAUGAAAUUAGGCUGAGGAAGAAAACAGAGGCUUUGAUCCAUAGCUUUUAGAGUCCAACUCAGAGAAAAGUGUUUUGGUUGGACAUUCCAGACAUACCUCCUACACAUUCUGGUUCAGGACCAUCGGGCUGCACAGGAGAGGUGUAGGUUUCAAGUUGCUAACAGAUGUCCUUAAAGAUAUCCCCAUCUUAUCUGGACUGUCUCAGCAUCGGAAAACCCAAACUGAGUAAUCUGCUGCAGCCUGAGCCCUCCUCUGCAGGGGUUUUAAAUUCCUGAAAUGAUUCACCAAUCAGGCCUAGAUCAAAUAACGAGAACAUAAAAUAGAAACCAGAGAGUUUACCCAAUUAGGCAGAAUCAGGCAGAACCAACCAUGGGAACCUUUAGUAAGGGACAUAUGACGUUUUGUGUUUGAUACUGCUGACAGUUUGCCAAGGUGUCCCCCCCCCCUAACAGAGUAAUGUUGGACCUGUUUUAAGACCACCUCAGCCAGUCACCCAUUCCAGUGCUGAUAACUGAUACAGCCUGGCAGGUGUCAUAACAACACGCCUCCACCCUCCCACCAGCAGGCUUAUUUAAGUGUGUCUGACAUGGACUGUCUGGUAAUGUCUUGCCAGUCCAAAAGUCAAGUUAUUAAUGAGCUAGAAUCUGAGCCUAUCAGGGGAAGUGUAGCACUGAGUUUGUGUUGAUAGUGUCGUAUUACCCAGAUCUACAGGAAGUGAUCUUUCUGUGUGGGUGUUGUGAAGCAGGGAUCCGAGCCAUGCUAUUUUCUCAGGUGUUAAACACAUUGCAGUCUAUGUAGAAAAGCAAACUUUUCAGAAGUAUGCUCAUCACCUCCUCCACCUCCUGAUGCCUUCUCUCUCAGAUGCGUAGGAGCCAUCCUCCUGUUGCGUGCUAGCAUGUUAGCGCUAAUGAGACCAGCUGUCCAAACGCUCAGCCGGUCAGCCAAAAGGGACCGCAGCCUUUGUUGGUGCAAGGUGUUACAUCUCCUGCAGGAACACACGCUUGUGUUUCAACAACACCGACCAUUUGGCACAGGAAGACUGUCUCCGCACCCCCCCAAAACACACACAACUAACUCUUUUCCUCAGUCCCUCUCCCGCUUAUAUUGUCCCGCUUGCUGCUGCUGCAGACACCAGUGAAUUGAUUUUGCUCUCUACAGCUUUAUACUUGAUCAUUUUUUCUCGCCACUGCUGGCGGGGACCGUUGCCUUUGUAAUCGCUGACCUCAGCUCCACACCUGAGUGGCUGUGGCCCUAAACAGCCUCUCCAACCCAUCCUAAAGUACCUUCUGUUACAAAAUGAAGUGUUGCACCCUGUUCGGGCUGCUGAAAAGACAAUACAUCACCUGGCAGUCACUCCUGGAGCAAAGAGGGUAGAGGGGGAAAAGAGGGUGGUGUAAGGCACCAAGAGAUGGAGAAUAGAGGAGGGUGGACAAGAGUCACAUGAUGCUAUGUAAAUAACCAGUCUAUGUGAGUGUCAUCCCUCCUCUGUGGCUCCCGGGUCUUCAGUUGUCCUAAGGAGAUGCAAAAUAAAUCUGAAACUGUCUAAAUAGCAGUAAAUGGUCAAGAGCUGCAGGGCCUUGGAAAGGUAUUCAUACCUUUUAAACUUUAAACCACAAACUUCAGUGUAUAUUAACAAGAUCCUGAACAUAGCAUUGUUAUGUGGAAUAAAAUGGACAAAUGGGCGCAAAAAUGCACAAAUAUGCUGUCAGCAGACUAUCCCACCUGAGCUGAGGAUCUCUGUAGCUCCUCCAGAGUUGUCAUGGGCCUGUUGGCUGCUUCUCUGACUCAUGCACUCCUUGGCAUGCCUGUGACCAAGGCUCUGUGAGAUGUUCAAAGCUCUGCAUCCUGUGUCAUAAUCUAACUCUGGGGUGGGCCCCUCAUAGAACAGCUGUGUAAAGACCAAGUUUAAAUUAUACACAGGUGUAAUUAUUGCUGAUAAAGUGACUUUUGAUUGAUUUUGUUCUGGGAUGCCAGAAGAGGCUGAAUUCAAAUGCACAUAUAACAUAUUUUUCGGAUUUGUAAAACAUUUUGUAAGCCCUUUAUGUUUUAUCUCUCACCUGAAUCUAUAACAGAA